GAUGAACGCUGGCGGCGUGCCUAAUACAUGCAAGUCGAGCGAACAGACGAGGAGCUUGCUCCUUUGACGUUAGCGGCGGGCGGGUGAGUAACACGUGGAUAACCUACCUAUAUGCGUGGGAUAACUUGGGAAAACCGUCGCUAAUCCGGGAUAACCUGUUGAACCGCAUGGUUCAAGAGUGAAAGUCGGUCUUGCUGUUACUUUUAGAUGGUUUCGGGUUGCAUUAGCGAGUUGGUCAGGUAACGGCUUACACAGGCAACGAUGCGUAGCCGACCUGAGGGGGUGUGCGGCCACACUGGAAGUGAGACGCGAUACUGACACCUACGGAAGGCAGCGGUAGGGAAGCUUGCGCAAUGGGCGAAAGCCUGACGGAGCAACGCCGCGUGAGUGAAGAAGGUCUUCGGAGCGGAAAACUCUGUUAUUAGGGAAGAACAAAUGUGUAAGUAACUAUGCACGUCGUGACGGUACCUAAUCAAAAAGCCACGGCUAACUACGUG
This 497-nucleotide ribosomal RNA is filed under the name uncultured bacterium. RNAcentral's name for it is "partial 16S ribosomal RNA". It matches the Rfam family "Bacterial small subunit ribosomal RNA", at positions 28 to 507 of the family's 1533-position model. The record is from RNAcentral.